UAGGGAAUCUUCGGCAAUGGGGGCAACCCUGACCGAGCAACGCCGCGUGAGUGAAGAAGGUUUUCGGAUCGUAAAGCUCUGUUGUAAGAGAAGAACGUGUGUGAGAGUGGAAAGUUCACACAGUGACGGUAACUUACCAGAAAGGGACGGCUAACUACGUGCCAGCAGCCGCGGUAAUACGUAGGUCCCGAGCGUUGUCCGGAUUUAUUGGGCGUAAAGCGAGCGCAGGCGGUUUAAUAAGUCUGAAGUUAAAGGCAGUGGCUUAACCAUUGUUCGCUUUGGGAACUGUUAAACUUGAGUGCAGAAGGGGAGAGUGGAAUUCCAUGUGUAGCGGUGAAAUGCGUAGAUAUAUGGAGGAACACCGGUGGCGAAAGCGGCUCUCUGGUCUGUAACUGACGCUGAGGCUCGAAAGCGUGGGGAGCAAACAGG
RNAcentral lists this ribosomal RNA (429 nucleotides) under bacterium. RNAcentral's name for it is "partial 16S ribosomal RNA". It matches the Rfam family "Bacterial small subunit ribosomal RNA", at positions 355 to 776 of the family's 1533-position model. The record is from RNAcentral.